Molecule: unclassified non-coding RNA, 584 nt
Filed under: Hevea brasiliensis (rubber tree)
Lineage: Eukaryota; Viridiplantae; Streptophyta; Magnoliopsida; Malpighiales; Euphorbiaceae
Source: RNAcentral
GCUAUUUGUGGAUUAGAAUUAUCCUUUAGAGACAAAUCCCACCACUCAUCCCAUGGGAUGACUGCUAUAAUCUCUUCACCCUUUUCAUUCUCAUGUCCUGAUUCACCAACCCAAAGAUUCCCCAUUUCAUCCUUCAAGCAAACUGCUGUAUGACCAGCAAAUGCACCAGUCACCCAUUUCUCCAAUGUCUCAAAUCCACCCCAACGACCACGAAUCUUUGACACAGCCAGAAAAUCACCAGAAUGAACAUCAUCAGGAUUAAUGAUUUCACGCCAGGGCUGAGGACGUUUCUCAAAUGUGGCACCCAUGUGCUUCUUCAGAAAAGCUAAGUUAGCAUUCUGACCCCAUGCAGUGUUAGAGAACAGAGGCAAGACAUCCAUUAAAGAAUGCAAGGUCCCAAGCAUUCCUGAUGGCAUGAGAAAUACAGAAACCCCAUGUUGCUUCACGUAUUCCAGCUCUGCGGCCUCUUCCCAUGACUUAAACUUCAGAGUAUGCUCUCGUGCAGAAAAGUAGUAAUCCCACGUAACACGAUAAGGUGUUGCAAAAACAUACAAAUCCAUACAGGUCCAGCUGUGCGCUGCAGA